Mycena capillaripes is the source of this 85-nucleotide non-coding RNA. NCBI's taxonomy places the organism in Eukaryota, Fungi, Basidiomycota, Agaricomycetes, Agaricales, Mycenaceae. The record is from the annotation of a GenBank genome assembly.
UCCUUCCUGGUGUAGUGGUCAACACCUUCACCUUCUAAUUUGGUGAAAAGUCAGGAGGUCCGCUGUUCGAAUCACCUUGGUGGAU